Molecule: non-coding RNA, 104 nt
Organism: Octopus bimaculoides (California two-spot octopus)
Lineage: Eukaryota; Metazoa; Mollusca; Cephalopoda; Octopoda; Octopodidae
Source: Rfam
AUACUGUCAUGGCAUCAUAUAUUCUAAAAUUGGAACAAUACAGAGAUUAAGCAUGGCCCCUGUGCAAGGAUGACACAAAAAUUCAUGAAGAGUUCCAAAUUUUU